Molecule: non-coding RNA, 24 nt
Filed under: Mus musculus (house mouse)
Lineage: Eukaryota; Metazoa; Chordata; Mammalia; Rodentia; Muridae
Source: RNAcentral
GCAGUCAGAACCUGCUGUUGAGGU